CUAUGAAAUAACACAUAUGGAAUCAUGUAGUAACCAAAAAAGUGUUAAACAAAUCAAAAAAUAUUUUAUAUUUGAGGUUUUUCAAAGUAGCCACCCUUUGCCUUGAUGACAGCUUUGCACACUCUUGGCAUUCUCUCAACCAGCUACACCUGGUAAAAGUGUCACACCCUGCUCUGUUUCACCUGUCUUUGGGCUUGUCUCCACCCCCUCCAGGUGUCGCACAUCUUCCCCAUUAUCCCCUGUGCAUUUAUACUUGUGUUCUCUGUUUGUCUGUUGCCAGUUUGUCUUGUCUCGUCAAGCCUACCAGCGUGUUUAUCAGAAUGGCAGGCAGGCUUACGCCUGUUUCCUUGAGCCCGUUUUCUGUUUUUUGAUCAUUUUGCCUGCCCUGAGCCUGCCUGCAGUUCUGUACCUUUUGCCACUGCCCUGGAUUAAUGACAAUAUUGUAAGAAAGUUUCAUUUUAUUGCUCAAAACAUGUUACAAAUAGCAGAGGCCUGCCCCCGACCCUGAGCUUGCCGCUCUGUACCUUACGAACUCCGCCCUGGACUACCAACCCCUGCCUGCCCUUGACCAGUCCUAUGCCUGCCCCCUGUUUAUAUAAUAAACAUCCAUUAUUCGAACUGUCUGCAUCUGGGUCUUUUCCUGAGUCAUGAUAAAAAGACCAAGUCCAUAUUAUGGCAAGAACAGCUCAAAUAAGCAAAGAGAAAUGACAGUCCAUCAUUACUUUAAGACAUGAAGGGUUACUUCUGCUGCGGAGGAUAAGUUCAUCUGCGUUAACUGCACCUCAGAUUGCAGCCCAAAUAAAUGCUUCACAGAGUUCAAGUAACAAGACACAUCUCAACAUCAACUGUUCAGAAGAGACUGCGUGAGUCAGGCCUUCAUGGUUGAAUUGCUGCAAAGAAACCAGUACUAAAGGACACCAAUAAUAAGAAGAGACUUGCUUGGGCCAAGAAACACAAGCAAUGGACAUUAGACCUGUGUAAAUCUGUCCUUUGGUCUGAUGAGUCAAAAUGUGAUAUUUUUGGUUCCAACCGCCGUGUCUUUGUGAGACGUAGAGUAGGUGAACGGAUGAUCUCUGCAUGUGUGGUUCCCACCGUGAAGCCUGGAGGAGGAGGUGUGAUGGUGUGGGCAUGCUUUGCUGAUGACACUGUAUGUGAUUUAUUUAGAAUUCAAGGCACACUUAACCAGCAUGGCACCCACAGCAUUCUGCAGCGAUACGCCAUCCAAUCUGGUUUGCGCUUAGUGGGACUAUAAUUUGUUUUUCAACAGGACAAUGACCCAAAACACACCUUCAGGCUGUGUAAGGGCUAUUUGACCAAGAAGGAGAGUGAUGGAGUGCUGCAUCAGAUGACCUGGCCUCCCUAAUCACCCGACCUCAUCCCAAUUGAUAAGUUGGACCGCAGAGUGAAGGAAAUGCAGCCAAAUAGUGCUCAGCAUAUGUGGGAACUUCUUCAAGACUCUUGGAAAAGCAUUCCAGGUGAAGCUGGUUGAGAGAAUGCCAAGAAUGUGCAAUGCCGUCAUCAAGGCAAAG
This 1529-nucleotide long non-coding RNA is filed under the name Salmo salar (Atlantic salmon). RNAcentral describes it as "lncRNA (ENSSSAG00000087840.1, ENSSSAG00020065401.1)". Lineage: Eukaryota; Metazoa; Chordata; Actinopteri; Salmoniformes; Salmonidae. The record is from RNAcentral.